AGGAAUUUCAGCGCUAGGCAAAUCAAAAUAGCUCAAAAUCUUAUCGACCCGUUCCUCAAAUGGAACCGACUCAUUAUAAAACAUACAAAACCCUUCAGGGCAAUUCCAAGAACCUUUAUGCACCUCAGACCCAGGCCAAAAAUAGGCAGCAGCCCUUAACCCAUGAUUGGCCACAGUCUCCCAGAGUGGCUCACCAAGCCACCAUUUGGGCCCUAAUCAUUACUCAAUUGUUACUGGGCUUUACCCUGCUUAUCAUGGCAUUAUCAACAGGGUAAAGCCCAGUAACAAUUGAGUAAUGAUUAGGGAAAGUAAGAGUAGGAAAUACUGGAAUCAAACCCGUCACGGCCUCAGUCCCGUUGGCGAUCAAACGG
Molecule: unclassified non-coding RNA, 371 nt
Filed under: Hevea brasiliensis (rubber tree)
Lineage: Eukaryota; Viridiplantae; Streptophyta; Magnoliopsida; Malpighiales; Euphorbiaceae
Source: RNAcentral